Molecule: ribosomal RNA, 447 nt
Filed under: uncultured bacterium
Lineage: Bacteria
Description: bacterial SSU rRNA
Rfam family: Bacterial small subunit ribosomal RNA
Source: RNAcentral
CCAGACUCCUACGGGAGGCAGCAGUGGGGAAUAUUGCACAAUGGGGGAAACCCUGAUGCAGCAACGCCGCGUGAGUGAAGAAGUAUUUCGGUAUGUAAAGCUCUAUCAGCAGGGAAGAAAAUGACGGUACCUGAGUAAGAAGCCCCGGCUAACUACGUGCCAGCAGCCGCGGUAAUACGUAGGGGGCAAGCGUUAUCCGGAUUUACUGGGUGUAAAGGGAGCGUAGACGGCGAUACAAGUCUGAAGUGAAAGCCCGGGGCUCAACCCCGGGACUGCAUUGGAAACUGUUAGGCUGGAGUGUCGGAGAGGUAAGCGGAAUUCCUAGUGUAGCGGUGAAAUGCGUAGAUAUUAGGAGGAACACCAGUGGCGAAGGCGGCUUACUGGACGACAACUGACGCUGAGGCUCGAAAGCGUGGGGAGCAAACAGGAUUAGAUACCCUCGUACCG